ACUUGAAUAGUUUAAUUAAAAAUUUUGAUUUGUGGCAUCAAAGAUGUAUUUAUACUUUAAGUA
RNAcentral lists this transfer RNA (63 nucleotides) under Orthetrum chrysis. RNAcentral describes it as "tRNA-His". The record is from RNAcentral. Lineage: Eukaryota; Metazoa; Arthropoda; Insecta; Odonata; Libellulidae.